Equus caballus (horse) is the source of this 2395-nucleotide long non-coding RNA. The record is from Ensembl. Lineage: Eukaryota; Metazoa; Chordata; Mammalia; Perissodactyla; Equidae.
UGAUGAGGUAACAGUGGCUGCCAACAACAGCUGCCGGCUGUAUUUACUGCUGCUGAGAUGAGCACUUUAUCUGCUUUCUACUUUAACCCUCACAACCGCCCCAUGAAGUAGACACCGCCAUCGCUAACUGCAUUGAAAAGAUGAGGAAACAGGCUCAGAGGUGAAGUUAAGGACGGAGCGGGGGUUCUAGCCCACGGGGUCUGGCUCUCAGAGCCCACCCUGACUGCUUCUUUGCGCUGACUUCCCCUCUAAUCCCUCAACCAAAGCCUCAGUCAACCCUUUCUCCCAGAAACAUCUCUAUUGAUUUUCUUUUUGAAGGCGCCUAGGAAGCUUAUACAAAUAAUUAAAGUCUCCUGCAGGCCAGGGGAGAGAAAUCUAGACUCUCCUGCUGAAGUCCCAGGGCCUGGGGUCCCUGGAAGAUCAGGGGCUCCAGAAAGAAGGGUCAGGAAAGGAAAGGCAAGUUCAGGAUCCCGAGACCUGGACUCCAGACUGGUUCUGCCCUGAACGCUGUGGAUCUUGAGCAAAGCCUUUCCCACCAGCUCCACGAGCUACAGCGUGAGGAUACUGUCACUCAGCAGAUGUUUAUUGCUGUCUCUGACGCAGGGCUGGAGGCGUCAGGAAGAACAAAUGAUUCUAAUAAAAGGUUCUGGAGGUUUAAAGAAGUCUGCAAGGAUCAAGAAAGGCUUUGUGACAGUCGUACCAUUUAAGACAGGCUGUACAGCAAGGUUGGGGCCCCAAGGGCCAGCGGUGUGGGGAAAGGGUGUUCCUGGAGGGGUGGUGCUGACAGGGACGUGGAGGUGACACAGCCCAGUUCUGGCUCAUGGACUGAGACCGUUCCAGAGGCCCAAAGGCUCCCUGGAGACAGUGCAGCCCUCUCAUUUCAAGGUGUGGACACUAAGAUUAAGACGUAGAACUGAGUUGCCCAAGGUGUCUCUGGAGAGUACCACAAUGUGUUGGCCAGGGUCCCAGCACGAAGCGGCUGGCAGCUUCUAGAUGAAAAACUUGAUGACAAUGUAAUACGGGGCGAUGUAUAAAGGUGUGGGCAGAUACAUGUAACCACGCAGGUCAGUGCAGUUCCCUAGGGUGACCUCACAAUUCCCUAAGCCUGAAAGACAGAGAGCAGUGACUGGAGCACAGAAGGGGCACCAUGUGGAGAGGCCCUGACGGCCGCAGCCUUCAGCAGUGCAAAGCCAGCCUGAUGUAGGGAAGGGGAGAAAAUCCUUCCCCUCUACCCACCUCAGAUUCUCCUCCUGGGUCCCUGUAAAUUAGACUGACAAAAGGCAGAUCAACAGGAGAAAGACAAACCGCAGUGCAGUGGCGUGUGCCUGGCCCAGACACAUGGAGCCCUGGGAUGAGCGGCUCAGAGGGGUGGUUGGAACUGGGGCUCAAGUAGCCGCUUAACCAAAGAACGAUAACUCUGUAGAGAAGUGAAGACAAAGAAAAGGACUUUGAGCAUCCAGGGGGGCAAACUGUGAGAAGCCCCCAGAAGACCCCAGGACCUGGACGGCUCCGUCAGGGUGAUGCCAAAGGAGGGGACACUGAGAGCCCAGUUUCCGGACACAGGCACGGAGCCUUUCCUGAGCUGCAGAGAAAGAUAUGGCAGGUGGAAGACAUCUUGGACGAACUGAAUAAAGAGUUCUUCCAGCUCACUGCUCAAGCCCUAGAGCUCCAGAAAGAAGAGCACCAGCCAGACCACCUGCCCCCAAGGAAACACAGUACAUUUGCGGUGGUUCCCAGCAUCUUCCCUCAUGCAGAGCAGGAAGACAGACCUAACCCAGCAGAGGCAGGCGGCCCAGACAGAAAGAGUGUGGGAACCUGGGCCCUGAAGAGCGAGCAGGCCCUGAUCCUGGCGGUGAGGAGAGCCUGCCUGGCUCAGAGGAUCGAAGGCCUGGACUGGGAGCUGUCCCUGCUCCUCCAGGUGGCAGAGGGCAGCACGUGUGCAGGAUGGAGCCAGCCCAGCCUGGGGAGACGCUGAGUCACCCAGGGUGCUGCGGCGGUCAUCUGUGGCAGUGCCUUCUCCACAAAGAACAUGGCCAGGUUACUCUGCGCACUCCAGGCAGGAAGACGUGGGCGUCGCAGGGGCCGCCCUGGCUGGGAAUGUGAGCUCGGUUAUGGCAUGCUCCUAUCUGGUAACACCCAGGUUUCUUUCAGAGCCUGGACCUCGGCUUGUGCUGAUUGCUAUCUGUGAUCCUUUGGGGUGAGGGAAAAUAAAGUCACACAGGUUGAGAAUAUCAACGUGUGUUCCCAUCGCUGAGUCCAUCCCUCAAUCCUCUCAUCAGGGCACUGGCCAUUGGAUGCUGUGGUCCCCCAAAACCUCACUUGGGGCACCUGGCUUCAGGGGUGAGAUGUGCUUGGGGUAGGGACCAUGAGAACCUAGGUGCAGCUGCAGCUUCCA